This 253-nucleotide ribosomal RNA is filed under the name uncultured bacterium. Its description in RNAcentral is "partial 16S ribosomal RNA". It matches the Rfam family "Bacterial small subunit ribosomal RNA", at positions 524 to 776 of the family's 1533-position model. The record is from RNAcentral.
UACAGAGGCCCCGAGCGUUACCCGGAAUUACUGGGCGUAAAGAGUGCGUAGGUGGUCGUGUUAGUCGUUUGUUAAAUAUCCCGGCUCAACCGGGGAAAGGCGGGCGAAACGGCACGACUCGAGGGCGUGAGAGGUACAUGGAACUCUGGGUGUAGGGGUGAAAUCCGUUGAUAUCCAGGGGAACACCGAAAGCGAAGGCAAUGUACUGGCGCGUUCCUGACACUCAAGCACGAAAGCGUGGGUAGCGAACGGG